Molecule: ribosomal RNA, 406 nt
Filed under: uncultured bacterium
Lineage: Bacteria
Description: partial 16S ribosomal RNA
Rfam family: Bacterial small subunit ribosomal RNA
Source: RNAcentral
AUUGAACGCUGGCGGCAGGCCUAACACAUGCAAGUCGAACGAGUGGCGGACGGGUGAGUAAUGUCUGUGAACCUGCCCGAUGGAGGGGGUUAACUACUGGAAACGGUAGCUAAUACCGCAUACCAUCCGAUGUUCCCAGAUGGGAUUAUCUAGUAGGUGGGGGAACGGCUCACCAAGGCGACGAUCCCUAGCUGGUCUGAGAGGAUGAGCAGCCACACUGGAACGGAGACACGGUCCAGACUCCUACGGGAGGCAGCAGUGGGGAAUAUUGCACAAUGGGCGAAAGCCUGAUGGAGCCAUGCCGCGUGUAUGAAGAAGGUCUUCGGAUUGUAAAGUACUUUCAGCGGGGAGGCGGUACUCGAAGAAGAAGCACCGGCUAACUCCGUGCCAGCAGCCGCGGUAAUUC